GCACAGGUGGCACAAUGGUACUGCGCUCGCCUGCAGAGCGAGAUUCCGGGGGUUCGAUUCCCCCCCUGUGCU
This 72-nucleotide transfer RNA is filed under the name Candidatus Pacearchaeota archaeon. RNAcentral describes it as "tRNA-Cys". It matches the Rfam family "tRNA". From Rfam's summary of the family: Transfer RNA (tRNA) molecules are approximately 80 nucleotides in length. Lineage: Archaea; Nanobdellati. The record is from RNAcentral.